AGUGAACGCUGGCGGUAGGCCUAACACAUGCAAGUCGAACGGCAGCACAGUAAGAGCUUGCUCUUACGGGUGGCGAGUGGCGGACGGGUGAGGAAUACAUCGGAAUCUACUUUUUCGUGGGGGAUAACGUAGGGAAACUUACGCUAAUACCGCAUACGACCUACGGGUGAAAGCAGGGGAUCUUCGGACCUUGCGCGAUUGAAUGAGCCGAUGUCGGAUUAGCUAGUUGGCGGGGUAAAGGCCCACCAAGGCGACGAUCCGUAGCUGGUCUGAGAGGAUGAUCAGCCACACUGGAACUGAGACACGGUCCAGACUCCUACGGGAGGCAGCAGUGGGGAAUAUUGGACAAUGGGCGCAAGCCUGAUCCAGCCAUACCGCGGGGGUGAAGAAGGCCUUCGGGUUGUAAAGCCCUUUUGUUGGGAAAGAAAAGCAGCAGGUUAAUACCCCGCUGUUCUGACGGUACCCAAAGAAUAAGCACCGGCUAACUUC
Molecule: ribosomal RNA, 489 nt
Filed under: uncultured bacterium
Lineage: Bacteria
Description: partial 16S ribosomal RNA
Rfam family: Bacterial small subunit ribosomal RNA
Source: RNAcentral